AUGCACUUCACGGCCUCCACGCCCGAAAACUUCCGGUUCCCUUCCGUAGCUGGCCCUGCCUUGCAAGUAUACUCGAUCAAACUGGUUGAUCUCAAUCCUAAUCUGAGCUGGCCUCUUGAUGUCUACGGCGUGGUCGCCGCACGGGACGAUCUUGACCACAACCGCAACAUUCUCUUCUGCCGUUCAGGGGAAAACUGCCAAAGAAUUAAGCAAGAGGACCCUUUUUUGCACUUGACUGGCCCAUCUCGUGCAAUUGUGGCUGACGAGCCUGUUUUCUUUCAAAUUGAAUUAAAAUUGAAAUAUGGAGCACAGUUCAAAGAUACAGCAUUGUUCAUUGCCUAUCAAAGGUACCGCCCCAUGAAGAAGUAUGACAUCAUGCUGAUCAAUAGCCGCUGUUGUACAGCAGAGAUAAGUCUUGAGCGAUUUGCUCCAUCAAUCCAGGCCACAAUUGUUGGUGUUCGUGUGGUUGAAGGGGAGUCUUUUAACUAUGGAUGCAAAGUUUCUUGCUUCUUUUUUCGUGUUGAAGCAAUGUUGGGAAGCGCCGUGGAAGUUGUUUUGCUUGACUGCAGUGGUGAAAGGAUGCAUGCUGGAUUAGAUGGGUAUCUUAGUUUGUCAAGAAAUGUGAUGUCAGUGGGAUUGCAGGGCACACUCCGAGUUGUCAUAGGAGCAUACUCAAAGUCCAAACCCAGUAUCUCUCGAAUAAAUCACGUUGACUUUCCUGUCCAGCAGUGUCAAACAACUAUGCUUAAGUGUCAUGUUGGCGGCUCCGAAGUGGAGAUAGUUGUCGCUUGGUCUCGUCUUGUCAUGGACAAUCAUGAUCUUGUACUCGACGGCUAUUGA
RNAcentral lists this ribosomal RNA (840 nucleotides) under Triticum aestivum (bread wheat). RNAcentral's name for it is "partial small subunit ribosomal RNA". Lineage: Eukaryota; Viridiplantae; Streptophyta; Magnoliopsida; Poales; Poaceae. The record is from RNAcentral.